Molecule: long non-coding RNA, 981 nt
Organism: Passer domesticus (house sparrow)
Lineage: Eukaryota; Metazoa; Chordata; Aves; Passeriformes; Passeridae
Exons: 3
Source: RefSeq, a predicted model, not a curated record
GGAAGGAAGGAAGGAAGGAAGGAAGGAAGGCCUAUUCCAGGUCCUUUCCUGACACCCUAAACUACUGUGUCUGCCGACAUGGCAUGGUUGAGGCUGCCCGCCUCCAGGAUCUCCAGUGAGCUUCAUAUUCUGUUCUCGCCUUGAAUUCUGACUUUUUCUAGGGAAAAAGACCACAAUAACAGCAAUAGGAGAAGCUAUUUCAAGAGCACUGACACCUGGCUGCUUUCUAUGGUCCUUUCCUAUCCUACUUCCCCAUCAUCUGCUAUCAAUUCCUAAUCUAGAUGAGGUACCUGUGGAAUAAAAACAAUUACAAAUCUUACAAACCAAACCACUGAAAAAUUAGGAAGACUACAAGAUGAGUUAUUCCAUCAUUCCUUGGCCCUCCUCAGCACUUUGUUCUAGGAAGGUGACAUCAUCGGUCAAAAGAAAAAUUGAUUCUCCAUAUGUGUGAAUGAUAGUGAGGACUUUUUUCUUCUCUUAUUAAUAUUCUCUGGCUGUGUGGCUUUUCCUAUUGCAAAUAUACACAGGUAUUAAAAGAGAUGUGACAAUAUAUACUUAUAGUUUUAACAUUCUAAGGAUUUUUUUUACUGCAUUUUAGAAACAGUUACGGUGCUUGAUUUGCUGCUGCAUUUGUACAAUUGGAAAAGAAUUGCUGGAAAAGGUUGGUAAGUUAAGGAAACUGUAUGGUUUACAGGCAAAAUUCAAUGAAGAGUCUGAUUAGUUCAUGAUUUAUUUUAUGCUUUUAAAGGCAAAUGAAUUCAAAGUAUUUAGAGAGUGUUUUGUGUCCCAGAGGUCCUGUUAGAACUUAAUAUGGUCUUCUACUUGCUGGAAUAGUCCUAAAGAAAUAAGUGAUAUGUCACAACUGUAAGUGAAGGAAUGCUGUGUAAUAUAAACAAAUUAUCAGUAAAACUGAACCAGGGUUACUUGCCUAAUAAAUUAGUUUUUGGCACAUAUUUCACAAACAUUAAUUUUAAUGUCUAC